GAUUUUCAAAUUAUUUGAUAAAUAGAUUAAAUUCUGAAAUAUGUUUUGUAUUUAGUAAAAUGGGUCUGACAUGUUAAAUUUCAUUUGAAAAUUAUGCUCUGAAAUCCGUAAACUAUGACUGGAAAAUUUGUGAAAUAUGUUUUUAUAUAUAUGUAUUCUCAGCAUGGCUAUGAUCUGUUCUGGCCCCAGCCAAUGGGGAUUAUACGUUGGACCUGUCGACUUGUAAUCUGUGAGGAACCGGUUUCGACACCGCGCCACCGGUGAUUAGAAUAGUGGUUUCUGGACACCGUUUCCACCGGUGACUAACAAUAGUAGUUUCUGGCACUCUGUGCAACCCAUGCCACUGGGUUACGUGGUCGUAGCCUAUUAUGUUGAGAUUCUAGUAUCAGAGUUUUUGAAAAAAUGAUAAUAAGUUUUGAAAACAACAAAACGAUGUUAUUUAUGAUUUAUUCCAGACAUUAUCCUGUAUUUUGAUCUCAUAUGCUCUGACCCCACUUUGGGGUAUUUUGUUGCUUACUGGGCUAGUGUAGCUCAUUAUUCUAUUUUCUCCAUUUUUCAGAUCCAGAGGCUUGAUCUCACGGGAUUGAGGAGUGCGUUAGAUUUUCCGACGAUUCCUUCAGUUAUUGGCAUUUUAGUUAGAUUAGUUUGGACAUUUAAAUUAUGUUGGCAUAUGCUAUUUUGCAAUUUUGUAAGAUUGCUUUUGAAUAAAUUUAAAUAAUUAUUGCUUUGAUAUGAUCCGAUGCCUUGCAUGCCUGUGCGGCCCGCCGUGCGGGCGUGUGGCGUCUGUCGCGCCUCGGGCUCGGGGCGUGACAAACAACCCAGGAUGUCACACAAAAAAGGU
RNAcentral lists this long non-coding RNA (841 nucleotides) under Phoenix dactylifera (date palm). RNAcentral describes it as "long non-coding RNA (PDAC_LNC017655)". Lineage: Eukaryota; Viridiplantae; Streptophyta; Magnoliopsida; Arecales; Arecaceae. The record is from RNAcentral.